Molecule: ribosomal RNA, 252 nt
Filed under: uncultured bacterium
Lineage: Bacteria
Description: partial 16S ribosomal RNA
Rfam family: Bacterial small subunit ribosomal RNA
Source: RNAcentral
UACGGAGGGGGUUAGCGUUGUUCGGAAUUACUGGGCGUAAAGCGCGCGUAGGCGGAUUAGUCAGUUAGAGGUGAAAUCCCGGGGCUCAACCCGGAACUGCAUUUAAAACUGUAUAACUAGAGUAUAGGAGAGGAGAACGGAAUACCCAGUGUAGAGGUGGAAUUCGUAGAUAUUGGGUGGAACACCAGAAGCGAAGGCGGUUCUCUGGCCUAUUACUGACGCUCAGGGUCGAAAGCGUGGGGAGCAAACAGG